This 2464-nucleotide long non-coding RNA is filed under the name Gallus gallus (chicken). The record is from RNAcentral. Lineage: Eukaryota; Metazoa; Chordata; Aves; Galliformes; Phasianidae.
CUAGGAAUGAGCCCCUGCGUAAUGCAGCAGCAGCCAUCACCCAACACAGUGGCUUGGGACUGAGCUCUCCGUGCUCGAGGAACUGAGGAGCUGCCUCAUUAACCUUUUUUUCCUCUCUAUCAGGUUAGGUAGCAUGGAACUCUUGAUGAUUUGCUUGGUGCUUUAAGGAUUUUAAAGUGGCAGAGAAAUCAUGAGUCAGAAUAGACCUAAGGAAUGUUUUCCAACCCAAAUAGUUUAUGUAAGUUAAGUACAGUCUGAAGAAUGGGGGCAGGGAGGGAGAUGGGACCGGCUCAGACAUUCUUACCAUUUCAGCUGCAGUUUUUUAGGUCUUGGGGAGGAGUUAUUUUUCUUAACUCUCUCGUUAGUACUUGAGCAUCUGAAUAGCUAAAGGCACAGAAAAUCAAGGCAUAUUUUUCUUACUACAAGAUCUGUAUUUUCACAAACUAAGUGAAGGAGAAUACCAAAUAACUGACAUCACUUCUCUGAAAAGGAACAGAAAAGGCUCCCUCAUGCACACUAGUUUUAAUCUGGAGUAACCAGGAAGUUCAGUGAUUUAUUUAUUUUUUCCAGAGUGCCACCAGUUUGAAUAAUCAAUAUUGUUCAUAUCUUCAGAUAUUCCUUUACAUUUGCUGAUGCCCAUAUUGGUAUUUUGGUUCUGUAACUGACCUCUCCAUUUAUUCCGUCCUGUAAACUCAGCAUAUGAAUCGCAGCAAAUGGGUAAUACCUGAUGUUACAAGAUCCUGCCAGCUACCUAUACGUUUACAGCAGCCUACACACAGAGGUGUAUUGUCACAGCGUUUUGUUCUUUCCCUCCUUUCUGUCUUCUGCCUUCCACCAUUAAAAAGAAACACCCCUAACAGCCUUGUCUGACUUUUGUUUCCACUGUGCUCUGGAGAGUAGCUGCAAAACUAUUUUGUGGUUUGCCUUGAUGCAGUGCAGCUGUUGGGAAGUACAGUAUCUGUCCAACCCUCUGAAAGCUCUGUAUGGCUGCAGCCGUCCCCCCUCCUUCCUCUCACUAAAGCUGCUUGCAGCUCCUUAGUUUCAGUAUCCAGGCAGAACAAAUCCAUCCUGAGCAUGCUGCUUAUUCUGGAGUGCAGUCAGAGGGCAGGGAGGUGGAAGCCACUGUGAAACUCUGGCUGUUACAGAAACGUGAGGGGCAAUUGCUAACUGCAAAGGAUUAUAUUUCAGCCACUCUUUUGUGCAUCCCUUCAGAAGAGAAGAGUCAUUAGUCUCAGAUGGAAGCCUGAGCAGAAGUGGUCAGCUGUGUGCUUUAGUUCACCUGAAGAGUACAGUGGUCUGAAUAAUACAGGGCUGAGUUAACUGCUUUGUUUGAAACACCUUUGGAUACCAAAACCUUCCUGUUUUCCUGCUUCUCCAUUUCUCACCAGGGCUGUGCAGCAUUUCUCAGGCAGCUAGCUUGUGGCAUAUAAGAAAGGACCCCAAAAUUGAAAGCCCAGAGAAGGGCACACCCUUUGGUCAGCAUAAUGACCACUUACCUUUCGGUGAAAUCCACACAGCUCAGGGCUUUUUUAACCAGACACAUUAAAGAACUAAGUAUAUCUACUAUGCUAAGAUACAUAUGAAAGGCAGCUGGGAAGAAAUGCUUGAACUGUAGUUUUAAUCUGUCUGUGGCUUCUAGCAACCUUCCUCUUAUUUAAACACAAUCCAGUGAAACUCUCAUUUUAGACUCCAGUGGCAGUUCAGCCAUCUUAGUUGCAUCAUGCGCACUGCACUUCUUGGGCAGUAUCAUCUCUUCUCUCAGCUAAGUGAAACUUCCUAUUGACAGGCAAAUAUAUAGCUAUUACUCUACACGUGUUCCAGAGCUCCACAACAGAUAACAUUUUCUGUCCCAAGUUGUUUUUUAUUAUUUUAGAAUAUAUUUUAAAGUCACUCCACAGGUUCUUGUAAUGAAAGAUUACAAGUGAUCCUUGGCUCAGUGUCUUCUAUCCCCUCCUCUGGUCAUGAGACCGAUUUAAAAAUCAUGAUGUGAAAUGUGAGGUACACACUUGGCCUCCUCUUUGUUCAUUCCCUGUUUUUGGAACAUACGUGUUACAGCUGAGCUUCAUUUUGUUCAAAUGUAAAUCUUACAUUUGUAUGUAGUCACCUGACUCCAGGUCCUGCAGCUAAAGGAAAAUACAAAAUAUCUUUAGAACUGGGAUUAAAUAGUGAAACAGUGAAGUGCCUCUGCACAUGUGGAAUAAGAACAAUCAUUCUGACUGAGAUUCAGUGGCAGUUCAGAUUACUUCUGUUCCUAUAGCUUGGGGUAGGGUCACUCCUAGAGGGAUUGUGUUUCAGGACUUUAACCCUUUUAACCUCCCUUCCUUGCUGCUCCCAGAAAGACCUCUGUGCCCCAGCUGGGCAUAGCCCAAGUGACCUCAGCUGGCUACACACAUUUCUUAAAAAAGAUCCAAUUUUUGACGACUCCAACCCUCUUGUGAAUGUGAAAACAAAGCAUGUAUUUUAU